RNAcentral lists this ribosomal RNA (780 nucleotides) under uncultured bacterium. RNAcentral describes it as "bacterial SSU rRNA". It matches the Rfam family "Bacterial small subunit ribosomal RNA", at positions 55 to 830 of the family's 1533-position model. The record is from RNAcentral. RNAcentral also lists the same sequence under 1 other name.
AUGCAAGUCGAGCGGAUGAGAGGAGCUUGCUCCUGGAUUCAGCGGCGGACGGGUGAGUAAUGCCUAGGAAUCUGCCUGGUAGUGGGGGACAACGUUUCGAAAGGAACGCUAAUACCGCAUACGUCCUACGGGAGAAAGCAGGGGACCUUCGGGCCUUGCGCUAUCAGAUGAGCCUAGGUCGGAUUAGCUAGUUGGUGAGGUAAUGGCUCACCAAGGCGACGAUCCGUAACUGGUCUGAGAGGAUGAUCAGUCACACUGGAACUGAGACACGGUCCAGACUCCUACGGGAGGCAGCAGUGGGGAAUAUUGGACAAUGGGCGAAAGCCUGAUCCAGCCAUGCCGCGUGUGUGAAGAAGGUCUUCGGAUUGUAAAGCACUUUAAGUUGGGAGGAAGGGUUGUAGAUUAAUACUCUGCAAUUUUGACGUUACCGACAGAAUAAGCACCGGCUAACUCUGUGCCAGCAGCCGCGGUAAUACAGAGGGUGCAAGCGUUAAUCGGAAUUACUGGGCGUAAAGCGCGCGUAGGUGGUUUGUUAAGUUGGAUGUGAAAUCCCCGGGCUCAACCUGGGAACUGCAUCCAAAACUGGCAAGCUCGAGUAUGGUAGAGGGUGGUGGAAUUUCCUGUGUAGCGGUGAAAUGCGUAGAUAUAGGAAGGAACACCAGUGGCGAAGGCGACCACCUGGACUGAUACUGACACUGAGGUGCGAAAGCGUGGGGAGCAAACAGGAUUAGAUACCCUGGUAGUCCACGCCGUAAACGAUGUCGACUAGCCGUUGGGAUC